AGAGAAAAACACUGCCCAUCAGAGCACCUGAACAAAAAGGCUGGGCCAGAAGAGAUGGGAAAUGGAUAUGGAGGAAGACAGAAAGAGAGAUCUGUUUCACAUUUCCCUUCUCGAAAAGGGGACUUACCUUUCUGAUUUCACAGUAGGAGGCAAAAGCGUUACAAACCUCAUUACACAGGCUCUGUCUCCCUCUCCCUCUCCUCUUCUCCACCGUCAAAUGACUGGCAGAAUCAUGAGACUUCCUUGAGCCAUCACGCUCUCUACUUCAGUUAACAUCUCAAGGCGUGAACAGCCCCAGGAGCAAUCUGGCUUCCCUGGAGGGAUCCAGAAUUUAGAGGCAGAUCUCACCUGACUGUAAUCAAACCAGACUUGAAGAUCUCAUCAUAAACCAGGCGAAUGAGAUAAAGGUUACUCGAUUUUGUGUUCCAAGUUAGGCAUUCAGUCUAGCCUCACUACAACAAAAUUUUCUCCUUAAAACAUUUUUAUUAUGCAAAUAUUUAUCUAUAAACAUUUGUCCCUUUCCCCUCUUUUCUAGGAGAGCUCUGUGUACGUACUUGGUUCUAUAAUAAAGAUUUUUGAUUUGCAGUAGCAUCCAGGAUGUAAAACAUUGCCAGAUUGCAACCCCAAAGUGCUAUAAAAGUUUUAAGACAUUGGAGAUGAUUUACUAAAUUAUUGACAACUCUAUUGUUCGAAAGACUUGCAAGUUAAAAGUGCAUAUUUAAGGAGAAAGGCUGCCGAUGUGGAAUCUCUUCAGCUCUGACCCAUCAGUCGGUGUGCAACCUUAUCUUCCUAGAACACCUUUGAAAUCCACAAGAAUUCUGCUGACUUAAGGAGACAGGAGCACGCCUCCAAUAGUAACAGGGGUGCCACAGGUACCCCACCUCUCACAGAAGGACUCCAUGCUGCAGGUCUGACUACAGAGUCAGGCACCCAUCCUUCCCCUUCUAACAUGUAACUGAUGAGACAUCCUUUUUCAAAGGAAACAGCAAAGCCGUACAAAUUCAAGCUUCCAACUCAUGGGUCUUCCAAAUGACCAUGAAUAUUCAACAUUUAUCCACAUGUAAGCAAGACAUCGAUGAUUAACAAGCUGAAAUCAAGAUUAGUCUGACACCACUGUCACGGUUCAUUUUAUAUGCCAACUUGGCUGCCCUGAGGGAUGCCCAGAUAGCUGGUAAAACACUAGUUCUGGGUGAGUCUGUGAGGGUGUAUCUGGAAAUGAUUAGCAUUUGAUCUGGUAGACUGAGGAAAGACCCACUCUCAGCAAGGGGGGCAGCAUCGUCCAGUCCAUUCAGUGCCUGAAUGGAACAGGAAAGUGAUGGAAGGGUGAGUUCUCUCUCUUCUUGAGCUGGAAUGCCCAUCUUCUCCUGCCCUUGGACAUGGAAGCCCCCAUCCUUGGACCUUCAGACUCUAGGACUUAACCCAGUGGUCCGCCAGCUCUCAGGAUUUUGAACUUGGACUGAACUAUACCACUGGCUUUCCUGGUCCUCCAGCUUGCAGAGAGCAGACUGUGGAACAUCUCAGCCUUCACAAACGCAUGAACCAGUUACCACUAUAAAUCUCCUCUUUUAUCUGUAUUUCUCCCUGUAUCUAUUACUGUGUACCUGUAUCUGCAUUGAUAUCCUAUUGGUUCUGUGUCUCUGGAGGAUCCUACCACCACCACCUUACAAAAAUAUAUCUGCCUUCUGAUGGAACACUUCGAGAAGCUGAACCUUAAAACACAAGAACUGCUUUCUGAUUUCCUAACUAAAACAGCUUGACCGCAUCACUGCAACACCUCCCCCUUGCUUUGUUUUUUAUAAUACUUAUAGCUCUCUGUAUAAGUAUAUGGAGUACUUACAGCUCCCAAUUUUUACAUGGAAGACUUGUCUAUUGUGGCCCCACAUCCACCCCCAGGAAUAUAAGUUCUCUGGCGACAAGGAUUUUGGGUACCACGUUAAUUUCUGUGUCUCCAGUGCCCACCCACAAUGCCUGAUACAGAAUAGUAAGUAUUUGGUAAGUGACCAAAUGUUGCGUUACCUUACACAUCAGUAAUUUUAAGCCGAAGGGCAAACUGUAGAGUGAGAAGGGGAGAUGCAGAUAAACAGAAGAAUUUGUGGACCAUUAAAGGUGGUGAGCGCAUCCCCUGAGACAGCAGUUCUAGAUGAUUCUGUGUCUAGUGGAAACUUACAGGUUUUGGAACUUGCUAGGAUUUCUGUCCUCACGACGUGUGGGAGGCUGAUUAAAAUCAGUGUCCCUGACAUCCUUGUAAUUUUUAGUAGAAACAGAACACAAAGCACAGUUUCCCCUUCAACCUCCUCUACCUUUUCUUUGGUUCUAGCGACAGGACUUGUCAGAAGUGAGCCGCCCCGAGACUGAGCAUCUUUUUGGACUGAACUUAAAGACCAUGCUGCUUCAGGGGCCUCGUGGUUAUUCACUAGAAGUCCUGCUGGGUCAGAUAAGGUCCCUGGGGCAAUGAGAAAACCCCCAUUUUCCCUGAACCCUGUCCUAAAAAGGGGAUUAUAUGCUCCAGAUUGAGACAGUCAUAGAUGGAGCAGUUUCCACCUUUGUGCAUUUAGAUGGGGAAACAGUCAAGAAGGUCAGCCUUUGAAUGUUCUUGGUUUUAUUCAAGUCUGUCUUAGAAAUCACCUUGCUAUGCAUUCACCUGACACAAGACCCUUGGACACUGAGCAUUUUGUCUAACAUGGGACUUUGGAAACAUCUAAGCUUCUCCAUGGCAUUGGUUGAAAAUGGCCAGCUAACAUUUUACUGGUUCUGCUUAAUUCAUACUUAGACCUAAGACAGUUCAUGAUUUCAGUUAACAGAAUGGCUCUGUUUCAGGACACAGAUAAUAAGAGCAGAGCAGUUUACCCAGGAAAGUGAAUGUUUUAUUAUACAGUCAUGACACUCCAUUAUUAUUUAUGGUAUAAAAUGAAAAGAAGGAUUUUUAAAGGAGGAAAAUAUCUAAUUUUAUAAAAAAAAUUUAUUAGAAACAAAUGUGAUGUUUAAAAUUUGGACUAGAUGUUCUCGUGGGAUAAAGUGAAAUAUAGUCAAACAUCACAGUUUUGGACUAAUUGGAGUCCAGGUAAAUUACAAAACAAUUUCAAUAAAAUGCAAUUUCCAGUCUGUCAAGUACUUUAAUAAAUAGAUAAGCUGCUCCCUGGCAAAGUCCUUUUGCAUAGCAUAGCUAAUUCUUUUUGACUAGAAGGCACAAGGAGAUGUUAGUCUGGCUAAGUCAUAGCAUCACGGACUCCAAAUUAGUGAAUUGCAACUAAAUCAGCUUUUACUGUGCAUCUCAAGUUCCCAAUAACUGUAAGUAAGGAUUCUAGGGGAAGAAACUCAGUGUUCAGUAUAUGUCCCCAAAUUAUUUGUGCCUGAGUCCAAAAUCUUCAAAUUCUACUUCCCUGCUCUGGGUAAAUUAUAAUCUAGGGUUUGGGACAUUCUGUGGCCACGAUCAACAUAUUUAUAGAUUUUCAGUGUCCUAAUACAAGUUAAAUUUCCCUUUUAAAUAUAUACAACUAAGCAUCAGAUAUCAGGACGUCUAAAUUUUUAAUAUUAUCCGCAUUAAUAAAAAUAAACUUAUCUAGUUUGGGCCCCCAUAUGCCAAGUACAGCACUGAAAAGUAGAGAGUUAAAUGGACUAGCCCAGGAAUCUUUAAUUGGACAAUUAAUUGUACAUGAAAAAGACUGCUCCUUUAUAACUCUGCAUGCACCCUCUCGAGAUUUCUCUGCAGUCUGCAUUCCCCAAAGGGAGGCUGAAUGGCCAAGCUUCUCUUCCUUAUGGAUUCCAUUGGAAAUAUGAUGCUGUAUAAACCCCCAACAAACAACUAUAAAUCUAGCAAACAUCCACUGUGUCUGUAAAGAUGGAAUGAUUCUUCUCCAGACAAGCUUUGGAAAAUAAUGUAUUGAUUUCUGAUGGCAAUUUAUUGUUCUUUGCAAUCAACUGUGUUUAUACUGUGGCCCUAAAUUAUAACCCUUCCUCUUUCAUUCCUGGUCUUUGGAAUGCGAAAUCAGAGAGCCAGAAAGCUCCAAAGAGGUCACCUCCAAAAUACAUGAAAUUUAGAUGAAUUUUUUUCGAGUCAUAAAAUUUCUACUCACUCUCGUCUUUUUUUUUUUUUUUUUUUGGUAGCAUCACGUCAAAUGGCACAGCAUUAACUAAUUCUUAGGCUUUUACCCAAAGUACCCCUGACCCACUCAAAAUAAAGAACAAUCACAGAGUUCCUAAAAUUCAGGCCCCCUUUCUUCCCAGAAUAUUGAAUCCCAAGGUCAUCCA
Molecule: non-coding RNA, 4248 nt
Organism: Vicugna pacos (alpaca)
Lineage: Eukaryota; Metazoa; Chordata; Mammalia; Artiodactyla; Camelidae
Source: RefSeq, a predicted model, not a curated record